RNAcentral lists this ribosomal RNA (467 nucleotides) under uncultured bacterium. RNAcentral's name for it is "partial 16S ribosomal RNA". It matches the Rfam family "Bacterial small subunit ribosomal RNA", at positions 28 to 507 of the family's 1533-position model. The record is from RNAcentral.
GAUGAACGCUGGCGGCGCGCCUAACACAUGCAAGUCGAACGAUUAAAGCACCUUCGGGUGUGUAUAAAGUGGCGAACGGCUGAGUAACACGUGGGCAACCUGCCCCUUUCAUUGGGAUAGCCACGGGAAACCGUGGAUAAUACCGAAUACUUCGAGACUUCCGCAUGGAAGACUCGAGAAAGCUCCGGCGGAGAGGGAUGGGCCCGCGGCCUGUUAGCUUGUUGGUGGGGUAACGGCCUACCAAGGCAAUGAUGGGUAGCUGGGUUGAGAGACCGACCAGCCAGAUUGGGACUGAGACACGGCCCAGACCCCUACGGGAGGCAGCAGUGGGGAAUCUUGCACAAUGGGCGAAAGCCUGAUGCAGCGACGCCGCGUGCGGGAUGAAGGCCUUCGGGUUGUAAACCGCUUUCAGCAGGGACGAGGCGAAAGUGACGGUACCUGCAGAAGAAGCCCCGGCUAACUACGUG